Molecule: ribosomal RNA, 776 nt
Filed under: uncultured Neocallimastigales
Lineage: Eukaryota; Fungi; Neocallimastigomycota; Neocallimastigomycetes; Neocallimastigales
Description: partial large subunit ribosomal RNA
Rfam family: Eukaryotic large subunit ribosomal RNA
Source: RNAcentral
UAGAGAGAGACAUGCGCGCAUAUCAAUAAGCGGAGGAAAAGAAACUAACAAGGAUUCCCCUAGUAACGGCGAGUGAAGCGGGAAGAGCUCAAAUUUGAAAUCUUAAAGGGUUUCCCUUUACGAAUUGUAGUUUAAAGAAGUGUUUUCUGUUGAGGUUUUGGUAAAAGUUCUUUGGAAUAGGACAUCAUAGAGGGUGAGAAUCCCGUAUUUAACCUUUACUUUCAACUUUGUGAUACACUUUCAAAGAGUCGGAUUGUUUGGGAAUGCAGUCCAAAAUGGGUGGUAAAUUUCAUCUAAAGGCUAAAUAUUGGCGAGAGACCGAUAGCGAACAAGUACCGUGAGGGAAAGAUGAAAAGAACUUUGAAAAGAGAGUUAAACAGUACGUGAAAUUGUCAAAAGGGAAGCGUUUGACACCAGUGUUGUUUUUCUGAAAAUCAAUUAAAGAACUGUUUAUGCUAAGCUGUUUAGACUUUAUCAGCUAUCUGUUUAGUUUUGAGCUUUUCUUUAAUGCACUUUUCAGUUAACAAGUCAACAUCAAUUUCUUUUGCUGUAAAAAAGCUUGAGGAAGGUGGCUUGAGAUUCGUCUUAAGUGUUUAUAGCCUCUUGCCUAUGCAGUCGGAGAGAUUGAGGUCUGCAGCGUAGAUCCUUCGGGGCUAAAUGCAUUUGUGCUAAGUUAUAGCAUUUUAUAGACAACUUGUUGACUAUGAUUUGUCUUGUAGCUUACUCGCUUAUGUUAUUUUACCUACGCUUAGGAUGUUGACGCAUGAGAUAUACGC